CCCCGGGCUUAACCUGGGAACUGCNUUUGAAACUUUUAGGCUAGAGUAGGUGAGAGGGAAGUAGAAUUUCAGGUGUAGCGGUGAAAUGCGUAGAGAUNUGAAGGAAUACCGAUGGGGAAGGCAGCUUCCUGGCAUCAUACUGACACUGAGGCUCGAAAGCGUGGGUAGCAAACAGGAUUAGAUACCCUGGUAGUCCACGCCGUAAACGAUGUCUACUAGUCGUUGGGUCCCUUGAGGACUUAGUGACGCAGCUAACGCAAUAAGUAGACCGCCUGGGGAGUACGGCCGCAAGGUUAAAACUCAAAUGAAUUGACGGGGGCCCGCACAAGCGGUGGAGCAUGUGGUUUAAUUCGAUGCAACGCGAAGAACCUUACCUGGUCUUGACAUAUCUAGAAUCCUGCAGAGAUGCGGGAGUGCCUUCGGGAAUUAGAAUACAGGUGCUGCAUGGCUGUCGUCAGCUCGUGUCGUGAGAUGUUGGGUUAAGUCCCGCAACGAGCGCAACCCUUGUCCUUAGUUACCAGCGGGUUAAGCCGGGAACUCUAAGGAUACUGCCAGUGACAAACUGGAGGAAGGCGGGGACGACGUCAAGUCAUCAUGGCCCUUACGACCAGGGCUACACACGUGCUACAAUGGUAGGUACAGAGGGCAGCUACACAGCGAUGUGAUGCGAAUCUCAAAAAGCCUAUCGUAGUCCAGAUUGGAGUCUGCAACUCGACUCCAUGAAGUAGGAAUCGCUAGUAAUCGCGGAUCAGAAUGCCGCGGUGAAUACGUUCCCGGGCCUUGUACACACCGCCCGUCACACCAUGGGAGUUGAUUGCACCAGAAGUGGAUAGCUUAACCUUCGGGGAGGCGUUCACCACGGUGUGGUUGAUGACUGGGGUGA
Molecule: ribosomal RNA, 883 nt
Filed under: Psychrobacter sp. ARK-28
Lineage: Bacteria; Pseudomonadati; Pseudomonadota; Gammaproteobacteria; Moraxellales; Moraxellaceae
Description: bacterial SSU rRNA
Rfam family: Bacterial small subunit ribosomal RNA
Source: RNAcentral